This 489-nucleotide ribosomal RNA is filed under the name uncultured bacterium. Its description in RNAcentral is "partial 16S ribosomal RNA". It matches the Rfam family "Bacterial small subunit ribosomal RNA", at positions 28 to 507 of the family's 1533-position model. The record is from RNAcentral.
GACGAACGCUGGCGGCGUGCUUAACACAUGCAAGUCGAACGGUGAAGGGACCAGCUUGCUGGUUCUGGAUGAGUGGCGAACGGGUGAGUAACACGUGAGUAACCUGCCCCCUUCUUCUGGAUAACCGCAUGAAAGUGUGGCUAAUACGGGAUAUUCUGGGUCUGUCGCAUGGCGGGCCCGGGAAAGAUAUUGCUUCGGUGGGGGAUGGGCUCGCGGCCUAUCAGCUUGUUGGUGGGGUGAUGGCCUACCAAGGCGGUGACGGGUAGCCGGCCUGAGAGGGUGGACGGCCACACUGGGACUGAGACACGGCCCAGACUCCUACGGGAGGCAGCAGUGGGGAAUAUUGCACAAUGGGCGCAAGCCUGAUGCAGCGACGCCGCGUGAGGGAUGGAGGCCUUCGGGUUGUAAACCUCUUUCGCCAGUGAAGCAGGCCUGCUCCUUGUGGGUGGGUUGACGGUAGCUGGAUAAGAAGCGCCGGCUAACUACGUG